AGUGACUUUUUGUGCACCCCUGAGUCCAGCUCACUCAGCCACCUUGUGUUAUUUGUCCUACACUGAUCUUGCACUGUUCUGGAAACUGCUUUUCGUGAUGCCACUCCUGCUGCCUGAGUAAACCAAUAAACCAUUUUAACCAGAAUUACAGACCAGUGUCAGGAGGCAGGAGAUCAGCAGUCAAUUAUGGCAGGACAAAACAUUUUUAUAAUAAAUAAAAAUACUUGAAAUAAAAUAUUGAAAAAUU
Molecule: long non-coding RNA, 247 nt
Organism: Trichomycterus rosablanca
Lineage: Eukaryota; Metazoa; Chordata; Actinopteri; Siluriformes; Trichomycteridae
Exons: 3
Source: RefSeq, a predicted model, not a curated record